Molecule: unclassified non-coding RNA, 21 nt
Filed under: Chlamydomonas reinhardtii
Lineage: Eukaryota; Viridiplantae; Chlorophyta; Chlorophyceae; Chlamydomonadales; Chlamydomonadaceae
Description: small RNA Cre_2341
Source: RNAcentral
UAGGUGGCUGGCUCCGGCGCC